GUCCACGACCACACUACCCUGAACAUGCCUGAUCUCAUGUGAUCUCAGAAGCUAAGCAGGACUGGGCCUGUUUAGUACUUGCAUAGGAGACAAAAUUCUGUCUCAACAUUUUUUUAAAAAAGGUCUGGGUGAUG
RNAcentral lists this ribosomal RNA (134 nucleotides) under Chinchilla lanigera (long-tailed chinchilla). Lineage: Eukaryota; Metazoa; Chordata; Mammalia; Rodentia; Chinchillidae. The record is from RNAcentral.